Long non-coding RNA from Dermacentor silvarum, 1270 nucleotides. RefSeq lists it as uncharacterized. NCBI's taxonomy places the organism in Eukaryota, Metazoa, Arthropoda, Arachnida, Ixodida, Ixodidae. The record is from RefSeq and is a predicted model, not a curated record. The transcript has 2 exons.
GCACCUUGCAGCUGGGACUUGCACUAUAAUUAUGUGUAUCACUUCACAGGCUUUCAUUGCCUUGUGAAUUUUUUGGAGUUCUUAAUGGCCAUGAAUGAGUCUAUGCUUUUAGGUGCUAACUCAGAGGAGCAGAUGCAACACGACCAAGAGCAAAGGAAUAACAUGUGACAGAUGCUGAAUGAGUACCCUCCUUGCCCGCUGCACUCCAAUCUCAUGCCAGUGCCAUGGCAUUCGUGUGCCCGAUUACAGCAGCUACCAAGUAGCUAUAGACAGUACCUUCACAGCAUCAUUGUUACUUUUUUUCUUCUUAUUUUAGCAUAUGUCUUAAGCAAUGUGUGUGAUCAAUGCUCACUAUCCAGGAAGCAUGUUCACUUUCAGUAUGAGAUUCACUUGUGUGGGCUUUCCACUUCAUUUUUCUUUAUGGCCGGUUCUGAUCAGUAGCAGUUCUAGUCAACAGGUGAUUUUGAUGGACAAAUUAGGAUACUAAUUUGUAUGUUUGUUUCUCUUUUUUCUAUGUGUUAAGUGAAGCAAUGUGUCCACUCAGUGCUUAUAAUUUAGGAAAUACUUUGUUUCUUGAUAAGAGGUUCAUUUCUGGGAGCUCUUAGCUUCGUCUUUCGCUUCGGAGCUCAUUAUUCAAAAAGCACAUUCAUUCUCUCCAUAUAGAUUUAAUCCUCGGGUUAAUUCUUACUCUUUUAGACUUUGUUGUUAUUGAUGUUCAGUAGUUCCCUCAGCAGUUUUUCAACACACAUUUUACUCAUGUUGAUUAGUGUGCUUAGUGGUGGUUGCCGUUAAGCAUUUCUAAAAUUGAGUCUUGAUGAUCCCAUCUGCUUUUUUAGUUACUUGCAUUGCAAUUUUUGUGUUGCUGUUGGACAUUUUCAGUUGUUUUGCAGAGUACUAACACUAUUGUGAUGUGUCUCAGUUGAUUAAGUACACAUUUAAUUACAUUUGCCUUGUAUUCUUCUUAGCCUGAAAAGUGUUCGGUGCUGUAUAGUAGUUUUCUUAGUAAUUUCAUUUGCAAAUUUCAUGUUGACGUCAUGUUUUAUGUACAAAAAGUGACGUGGUGACCUAAUAAGUAGCAUGGCCGCUUGUGUUGUUUGAGCUGCACCUGUUUAUUUUUUUUCAUCACGUUUAUGCAAUGACAGCUUGAACCAGCAUUUUUAGUCAUUUUAUGUGGGUUUUGUAACAAUAUUGGCAAACUAUUUUGCACUGCUGUUAGUCUACUGUGCUCAAAUAUUUUGAUGUUGUGUUGCAAUAAAAUAUUUUAACAAGA